AAGUUGCAAUAUUUUUUUUUGAUUAAAUAGCAUAAUGUUCAUUAUUUAUUUUGUGACGUGGAUUAUUCUUGAUUAAUUUGAUAUAUUAUUUUUAUCUGCAUUGGAUGAGAUGAUUAUUAGUCUUUUUAAAAGGCGAAAUUUUCGAUUUGAAGAUGCAGUGAGAAAUUAUAUUAUCAAAUUGAAUUGAGAAUAAGAUUUGGAUAUUUGUGCCUAAUUUAAAAUCAUGUGCAUUAUUGUAGUGAUAUAUGGCUUCAAAAAAUUUUUCCAUCGCGGAUUCGUUAAAUCAAAAUCGGCUUGAUGGAACGAAUUAUGACAUGUGGCAUAGAAAAAUUCAAUAUCUCCUUAAUGAGAAAGGGAUACUUAGCCAUUUAACCAACAGUAUGGUUCGGCCUGAAGAAGGCACGACGGCCCAGCACCGUCGCGAUUUACAAGCCUAUAACGAGUGGCUUGAGAAAGAUCGAAGUGCACGAUAUACCAUGUUGAGCUGUAUGCACGAUGAUUUGAUCAAAGAAUUUGAAAAUUAUGAGACUGCUAAAAAUAUGUGGGAGCAGCUCAAAGUGAAAUAUGGGGGCACGUCGACCACAAGACUUCGUGUCUUGAAUCUCAAAUUCAAUCAAUACAUGUUGGACCCAAAGCAUUCUAUGGCAGAGCACUUAAGGGUGAUGUCUGCAAUGAUAAGAGAACUUAAAGCAGCCGGUUGCGAGCUCACUGACGAACAACAGGUUCAAUCAGUUAUAAGGUCCUUACCAGAUUCAUCUUGGGAUCAAAUCAAGAUUGUGCUGACUCAUAAUGAAGGUAUUAAGACCUUCAACGAUAUAUCUCGACAUCUUGAGUUGGAAGCGGAGCGCAGAGAGGCGAACCGUGCCAAUGCACUCGUUGCCCACGGUGGACAGCGCAGAGGCAAGUGGCCUAAGCACAAGCGCCGAAAUGGAGAAAAUAAAUAUGCAAAGACUGGGAACCGUGCGCCAAAUGAGGGCGGAAUUGAGAAGCGCCGCAAAGGCAGGCGCGGAAAGAAAAAUUUAAAUAAAGUGAAAUGCUAUAACUGUGGAAAUAUGGGACACUUCGCUCGUGAUUGCACUGAGCCGAAGAAGGUAAAUCCCAAUCCUGACUCUCUUAUUUAUGUAUGCUCGCACGUUUUUGUUGCUCACGCUCUCUCUGAUUGGAUUGUAGACACAGGAGCAACAAAGCAUGUAACGAGAGAUCGAGCAGGAUAUGUGGAUUAUCGUCGGGUGUCUGCUGGCAGCCAUUAUGUCAUGAUGGGAAACGGCACUGAGGAAGAAGUCCUUGGAAUUGGCGCAUACCAACUUAGAUUGCGCAAUGGUCGUUAUUUGAUAUUACACGAUGUGCUGUAUGCACCGAACAUCCGAUGUAAUCUACUGUCAGUUUUAGCGUUACUUAGAUUAGGUUUUUCUUUUCAAUUUACGGAUACUCAGUUAGAUAUUUAUUUGGGCAAGGACUUUUAUGGUAAUGGUUGUUUAAAGAAUGAUUUCUUUGUCUUAAAUUUAGACUUGGAUUUUAUUAAUAACAAUAAUUCUGCUUUAUUAGUUUCUUCUGAUAUUGUAUCUGAUUCUAUCAAAUGGCAUGCGAGAUUGGGUCACAUUGGACAAGAAAGAAUGGCUCGACUAGCUAGAGAAGGCCUGUUGGGGUCACUCGCUAAGCUUAGCCUACCUCCUUGUGAACCAUGUUUAGCAGGAAAAGCCUGCAGAAAGCCUUUUGGUAAGGCACGUAGAGCAACUCAUCCAUUGGAGCUAGUUCAUUCAGACAUAUGCGGACCUAUGAAUGUGAGAGCACGUCAUGGCGCGUACUAUUUCCUCACUUUCAUUGAUGACUACUCCCGUUAUAGUUCGGUAUAUCUGUUGUCUCACCGUUCAGAAGCUUUAGAUUAUUUUAAACGCUUCUUAGUGGAGGUUGAGAACCAAACAGAAAGAACUCUAAAAGUUCUACGUACUGAUAGAGGACGAGAGUAUUUAUCAGACCAGUUCAGGGAACUAUGUGAGGAAAAGGGAAUACGCAGACAGUUAACUAUUCCCGGUACUCCGCAACAAAAUGGUGUUGCAGAGAGGAGGAAUAGGACUCUUUUGGAAAUGGUUAGGUCUAUGAUGGCGCAAGCCAACCUCCCAAUCAGUUUUUGGGGUGAUGCGUUGUUGACUGCUGCCUAUAUACUUAACCGAGUGCCCUCUAAGUCAGUUCCUUCAACUCCCUAUGAGCUAUGGCAUGGUAUAAAGCCAAAUUUGGAAGGCUUACGACCAUGGGGAUCGGCAGGAUAUGUGCAUAAUACUUCUCAUAAAUAUGGAAAGUUAGGCCCUAGAGCAAAUAAACAAAUUUUUAUUAGAUAUUCUGAUUGCUCGAAAGGCUAUGUGAUGUAUGGUAAGCAUCCUGAUGGAGGAAUGACUGAGAUAGAGUCGCGCGAUGUGGAUUUUCUUGAGAAUGAUUUUCCAGACAUUGGUGAGAUUAAAAAGGACCUUGCACUAUACGAGUUGCAAGAACCUAAUGGAAAUGUCCCAUUGUUAGGCGAGAAUGAGGCACUGAGGCCACAUGAAGAAAUAGCCCAAAACAGUGGGAGUGAUCCUAUGGUCAGUGGGAGUGUGCCGAUUGACCAUGGCUCACAAAGUCCAUCAUUACGAAGAAGUAAACGUGGAGGUGUUCCCCGUCGUCGAUUUGAGAUUGAAGGGGAAUCGUUCAUGUGUGCUUCUACGGAUCUUGAUGAGCCGGCUUCUUAUGCUGAAGCUUUGAAUUCACCAGUUUGUGAUAAAUGGCUAGCUGCUAUGGAGGAUGAGAUGAGUUCUAUGGCUAAGAAUAAUGUGUGGGAGUUAGUUGAUCUUCCGUCUGGACGCAAAACUAUUGGAAAUAAAUGGAUUUUUAAAAUAAAACGUAAGGCGGAUGGAUCAAUUGACAAAUAUAAGGCCCGAUUAGUGGCGAAAGGAUACACCCAAAAGGAGGGAGUAGACUAUGAAGAGACAUUCUCCCCAGUGGUGAGGUUUGUCUCAAUUCGCCUGAUUCUGGCUAUCGUCGCACAUUUAGAUUUGGAACUGUUCCAAAUGGAUGUGAAGACUGCAUUUCUCAAUGGAGAACUAGAUGAGGAGAUUUAUAUGAAUCAACCUCCCGGUUUUAUAGCCGAAGGACAAGAGCGCAAAGUGUGCCGCUUAAAACGUUCCAUUUACGGCUUGAAACAAUCGUCUAGGCAAUGGUAUCAACGUUUUCAUAGAGCAAUUAUUUCAAUAGGCUUUGUGAUGAUCGAAGAAGACCAUUGCGUGUACGUUAAAAGGGAAGAAAAGAGUUUUCUUAUCCUAUAUGUAGACGAUAUCUUGUUGGCCGGAAAUAAUAUGGAGUUAAUAAUCACCACACAGGAGUGGUUGUCCUCUACUUUUGAGAUGAAGGACAUGGGACAAGCGGAUUAUGUAUUGGGAGUCAAGAUCCAUAGGGAUCGAUCUCGAAAAUUCUUAAGUUUGUCUCAAGAGACUUACAUCAAAAGAAUUUUGAAGCGAUUCCGAAUGCAUAAUUUGAAACCUAUUGACACUCCAAUGGAAAAUGGUCAUUAUCUUAGCCUUGAACAGUGCCUUAAAACAGAAGAAGAGAGAAAGCAGAUGAAAAAAGUCCCAUAUGCGAGUGCAGUCGGCAGCUUGAUGUAUGCAAUGAUAUGAUAGCAGAUCCUUUUACCAAACCCCUUGUUAGAAAUGUUUUUCAUAAACAUGUUAGAGGAUUGGGUUUGUGUAGGACUUGACUUUUAUCUUGUAUUAAUAAUUUUGCUAAUAAAUUUUUUUUUGAAAUCAUUUUUCAUUUAUAUACCUGUUUAUUAAAUUUUAAAUUAGUGCACAAUAUUCUUAUGAGAAUGAAUGUCACCAGGCCCUUGAUCAGCCCUCUCACACGGGUGAUCGCCCUGUCGCUAGGAGAGCGAGCAGGAUGAGACAAAUAAGAUCACAUAAAUGCAGUUAGUAAUGCAGGUGAUCCACUUUGCGCUAUAAGAGCUGGCGAGUGUUUAAAUCUUGAAUGUCGCCUUAGAUGAGCUAAGAUGAGACUGUACGAAGUCGACAGUAGAGAUGGUCCACGACUCUACUUGGCCUGUAUGAAGCCGAAUGUAAAGAAGACACCAUGUGGGUGACUGUCUUGAGGUUUGUUGUCUUGAGUUACAACAAAACCGACAUUCGUAUGGUGUUUUGAGCGUGACAUGUCCUUAGAGGUAGCUCCACCAUAGCAUACGUUCAUACCGUAUGUGCAAGAUCGAUCACUAUGUUUUAGAGAGUGACGAAAUUGAUUCCCGUUUCGUCGCUGUGUGAGCUUUCAUACCCUUUGGGACUUAGAACCAUGUUAUGAAGUGGAUACUUGGUGAUGCUACUUUAGCAUGAUAUCCAAGGGCCAUGAUUGAUUCGGUCCAGCGGAACAUGUCUAGGAAAGCAGUCAAGUUGAAAUGGAUUGACAUGAGGCAUCUAAGGAAAAAUCAUUUGAUAAUACACCUAUGAUUUGUUACUCAUUGCCCGGGCGAUUAUGUUGAUAUUUGUUGUCAAUAUAAUCAUGAGAACAAAUACAUUAAUGAGAGAGAUCUAGUUUGCUCUAAGGGAUCAGAGAUGCUAUGAUCUGGUGUAGUUCAGUGAUUUGGGGUAUAGACGAGAUUUGGAGUUGUAGUGUUAUGUUAGUUCGGAUGGUGGCUUAAUAUAACACUCCUCAUUUAUGAUUCUUCUCGUUAUUGAUCGCACCAACCAUUUCCCGUAUGAAGAGCAGAACGAGAUGAGAAUAUAUCAGGGAUGAGAAAGUAUGAAUAAGUACCAAGUGUGUACGAGUGGGAGAUGUUAGGAUUCGUCCACAUUGGGACUUAUCUAAAAUAUUUCUAAUCCAUAUGGGAUAAGAAAUAAAUAUUUAUAAUUAUCUGUUAUAUUCCUAGUCCACUUGGGAUAAGGAAUAAAUCUAACAGAUAAAUCCUAAUCUGUUUAAAUCUCUAUCUAUGUGAGAUUUAGUUAGGAUAUGAUUAGGAUUAAUAUCUCCCUUAUGGCCUAUAAAUACAUGAGGUAUUGACCACAUACAAGACAACGAAAAAAAUAAGAAUCAUCUCUCCACAAAAAUUCUCUCUCUUUGGUUCGCUCUAGGGCACCAUCAUAAAUCCUAGGGAUUUGGGCGGUGUGCGGCAAUCGACUCUAGUAGUCGGAUUGCAACGAGAAAGAACAAUACGCAACAAAUUGAGACAGGACGUUGGCGGAUCAACGAGUUCGUAAAACAAGACGAGAUCAGAUCCUGGUAAUCACAACAUUAAUUCCGCACCACAAAAGAGGUAUGUAAAAAUCUAUAAGAUUUUUGCGACUUAUAUUUUUGGAUAUUUAAUUGAUUUUAUUCAACAGGCUUGUUAUUACUGAUAUGGUGCAAGUGUGAUAUAGUAGACUUCCUCCCCAAGAAGCUAGUCUUCAGUGCAUUAAAGAAGAGAAUCUUGGAAGAGCUCGACCACUAGUGCUAAAUUCAGCUUUUUGCCCUAGGACGGCGACUUUGUAGCUUUCUAUUAGUUCUUCUUAUUGCUUUUGUUUCCUAGAGAUAACAAUAUUAGCCAUUGAAAGUGUAGGAUAAAUUAAUCCAUUGUUAUACGUAAGAGCUCAGAAGCCUUCUUAUCGCAUAUGACUAUUUAUGUUUGAAAAAUGCAAAGUUUAUAACUAGAAAAGGAUAAUCAUUUCCACUGCUUCUCAUACAAAGGUUCUGGAGUCUACUUGUAUUUUAGAUGUGAGUACAUUGUAAGAUUAUAACCCACCCACUUUGAAUUAUAAACCUGAGAUACCUUAAUAAUCUCACGUCACAUAAUGUGGGAACCGUUGGUUUGAGUCCAAUGAGUUUUUUGUGUUAGUUGGUAAGCUUUUUUUCUUUAAUUAAAUAUUGAUGAGUUGGAUUUUUUUUUUCUUUGAUUAUAUAUUUAGCUAAGUCUCAUAUAGGUCAACUAAAUUUGAGCAAGUGCCAAAGAACUUGGUGGUAGGUACCCAAGGUCCCAAGUUCGAAUCCUAGUUGAUUCACAUCUUCAGCUAAAUUUAUUUCUAAAUGAAAUCAACGAACCGGGUAGCGUGCUAUCUAUCUCUCAAAAAAAAAAAAAAAAAAAAAAAAAAAAAAAAAAAAAAAAAAAAAAAAAAAAAAAACUAAAUUUGCAUAAAUUUCUAUCACUGUUUCCUUUUUAUUGUGAUUUGUGAGCAAUAUUUUAUGAAGGAAGGAGAUGCAAAUGGAAGGGCAAGUGGAUAUACAAUUGACAAGCAUGUUCACUCUUCUUUUUUUUUUUUACUUUGCCGCAGAAAGUAGAAAUAGAAAGUAGAAAGUAGAAAGAGAGAACUAAUUCAAGGGGAAAGGAAAGAAGCUUCCUCGCCUCGGUGUCCUGCACAUGGGCUUCACUAGUUAUAUGAUAAGCUUUCCUACAGUGCUACCUAUCUCUUGAACAUGAUCACCUAUAACUUUUACAUAUUUUUUUAAUUUUGAAAAUCUAAUCUAGCUUUUUGCUUCAUCCAUUGUUUUAAUUUCUAGAAAAGUUUAAUCCAACUUUGCUACACACACACACACACACACACACACACACACACACACACACAUAUAUAUAUAUAUAUAUAUAUAUAUAUAUAGAGAAGAAGAAAGAGAGGAGCAAGAAUACUAUGGAUAGCAUAUGGAGUUCAUUGCUAUCAUUUUUUUUUUCCAAUAAGGGAGCAUUCGAAUAAUUGAUCAUAACCAUUGAACAUGAUUUGAAUCAAUAAAAGUAUUUAGAUAUUAAAUUUCUUACGUUUUCAACAUUAUUAACCAAAUAAUCAAGUGGUUGCAAAAUUUUUACUUUUAAUUGUUGAUACGAGGAAUUCGCUCUUUUAAUAGUGGAAAAGAAUUCAAAUCAAUUGAAUUUUUAUUAGAAAAUUUGUAAACUACUUGAAAUAUCUACACCCUUGAUCUUGAGUACAAGAAUUCUAUCAUUAUCACUUUUUGAAGGAUAUUUAUUUUUAACGAUUCAUUUUUGUGCCCACUUGAUGUCCAAAAAAUAAUAUUAAAAAAUUAUAAAAUUUUAUUCUAGAUCCUUUAAGUAGUCUAGAUUAUUUUCAAUAGUGCACGCUGAUUAUCAAUUUAGAAGCUCCAUCAUAAAAAAUGAAUUGGUUCUAAAAGAGUGUGUUUGCUACUAAUAAUAUGCCAGCGAAACAUAAGUAAGCUGACUCCAGCAAGUAGAAGAAGAAUAAUAUUAAUAAAUAUUUCAAAACUUUAAAAUAUCUAACAUAAAUGCCUUUAUUGAUUCUAAAAGUUUCUUCCAAUGUAUCUCUAAGUUUAGGAUUUUGAGAAGAGAGAAUAAAUUUAAAAAUUUUGAAUAGAUGUGAGUAGGGGUGUCAACGUGGCUCGUUUUCGGCUCGUUUCAUAGACGAGCUGUUCUUGAGCAGACUUAUUAAAGUAUCGAGCCGAAAAAUUUAGCUCAUGUUUGGCUCAUUUAUUAACGAGUCGAAUACGAGUUGACUCACAAACAAUAAGUUAAAAGAUUAGAAAGGACAUAUAUAGGAUAUAAAUUUUCGAGAUUUUACCUAUUAGACUUUGAUCUAACAUUUGAAACUUUAUACAUAUAAAUGAAUUUUUUUAUAAUUGAGUUAGGUUUUAUAUUUAGGUUGGACUAAAAAUCAAAUAAUAAAAAUUUAUAAAAUAUUAUAUAUAAUUAUUUAUUUAUAUAUAUAAAUAUAAAAUAUAUAUAUUCGAGCUAUUAUUGAGCCGAAUACGAACGAGCUAGCCAACCCUAUCUCGUGUUCCGUUUGUUUAUUAAACAAGCUGAAAAAUUCAGAUCGUGUUCGACUCAUUUACUAAACGAGCGAUUUGAUGUCGAGUUCAUUUCGAGCCGAUAAUAAACCGGCUUACGAAAAGCGACNUAUAUAUAUAUAUAUGAGCUAGAAUGCUAUCAAUAGCAAACGGACUCCGUUGCCACCUAUUUGUUUUCAAUGAUGAAGCCUCUGAAUUGACGAUCGACACCAUUUAACAUGAUCUAUACAACUUGAAGUAUUUAUAAAUCAAAUUUCAUACAUUUCCGAUAUUGUUCUCUUAUCCAUCGAGUGCACACAAAAAUAAACGGUUGAAAAUGAAUAUUCUUUAAAAAAUGAUGAUAAAAUACUUGAAUUUAAGAUCAAAAGUACUGAUCUUACUCUAAAUAGUGAAAAGAAUUUUCUAUAAAAAUUUUAUGAGAUUUGGAUUGUUUUACACCGUUAAAUUCACAAACGCAUCACAUCGCCAUUAAAAUUGUCAUUUUUGAGACCUUUUGAUCACUAGCCAAAUGAUGUCGAAAAAUUAUGAAAUUUAAUUUUCAAAUACUUUCAAUGAUGUAGAUCAAUUCUAACAGAGUCGAUCAUCGAUUUGAAAGCCGCAUCAUUGAAAACAACUUGGUAUAUAUAUAGAGAGAGAGAGAGAGCAAGAGAGCUAGGCUCCUAUGCUUUUGAAAGUACGGGAGCCUCCGUACUUGUAAGUUGUUUUCGGUGAUGGGACGUCCGAUUCGGCGAUCGGUUCCGUUAGACAUAAUCUACGCUAUUGGAACUAUCUAGAAACCAAAUUUCAUAAUUUUUUGACUUCGUUUGCCUAGUGAACAAGUAGCCUCAAAAUGAACGGAAAAUAAAAAUCUCAUACAACAAUGAUAAAAGACUCAAAUUUUAAAUCGGAAGUAUUGAUCUUGCUAUUGACGUUAAGUGGGAUUUUCUAUUAAAUUUUCAUGUAAUUUGGAUACUUCUACACCAUUGAACUUAAAAACGUGUCGCAUCGGCCGUUAAAAUAGUCAUUUUUGGGGCCUUUUGAUCGCUUGGUAAAUGAUGUCAAAAAAUUAUAAAAUUUGGUUCUAGAUAGUUCCAAUAUGGUAAAUUAUACCUAACGGAGCCGAUCGUCGAAUCGGAUAUACUAUCAUUGAAAACAACUUACAAGCACGGAGGUUCUGGUACUUUCGAAAGUAUAGUAGACAGACUCUAUAGAGUAUAGGGCUACUAUACUCUUAUAUAUAGAGAGUAGGGCUACUAUACUCUUAUGAGUAUAGAGUCCUUCGUACUCAUAAGUUGUUUUCGAUGUUGAGGUUUUCGAAUCGACGAUCCACACCGUUAAAUAUGAUCUAGAGUAUUUGAAACUUUUAGAAAAUAAAUUUCAUAAUUUUUUGAAAUCAUUAUAAAGUUCAUCAAGCGGGUAUAAAAUGAACGGUCAAAAUCGAACGACAUCCUAAAAAUGGAUGAUCGGAUCAUAUAAUUUAAGAUCGGAGUUAUUGAUCUUUAUUUAGAUAGUGAAUAGAAUUUUCUAUCAAAAAUUCAACCUGUUCCGAUUCUUUUUCACCGUUAAAUUAGCAAAUAUCUCAUAUCGGCCGUUAAAAAUUGUCAAUUUUGUGAGCUUUUUGAUCGUAAGGUAAAUGAUAUCGAAAAAUUAUAAAAUUUAAUUUCUAAAAGUUUUAAAUGCUCUAGAUAAUGUUUAACGGUAUGGAUCGUUGAUUCAGAAGCUCUAUCAUCGAAAAUAAUUUAUGAGUACGAAAGCGAUCGUACUCAUAAGAGUAUAGUAGCCGGACUCUCUCUCUCUCUCUCUCUCUCUCUCUCUCUCUCUCUCUCUAUAUAUAUAUAUAUAUAUAUAUGAGUGCGACUAGGAUGCUUAUGGAGCACAGAGGGCUGCUGCUUCCAUUUAUUUUUCGAUGUUCGACUUUUCGAAUCGACGAUCGGCUCCGUUAGACUUGAUCUAGAGUAUUUGAAGUAUCUAGAAAAUAAAUUUUGCGAUUUUUCGAUAUCAUUUACCUAGUGAUCGAAGUGACUCAAAAUUAACGGCUGAAAAUAAAAAUCGUACAAAAUAUGAUGAUAUGACAUUAAAAUUUUAGAUCAAAUUUAUUGAUCUUGUUUUAUAUGGUAUAAAGAAUUUUCUAUCAAAAUUUCAUAUGAUUUGGAUAUUUCUACACGCGUUAAACUUGCAACCGGCUCACCACGGUCAUUAAAAUUAUUGAUUUUGAGGCCCUUCGAUCACUAGGCAAAUAAUAUUGAAAAAUCCAAAAUUUAUUUUCUAGGUACUUCAAAUACUCUAGAUCAACUCUAACCGAACCGAUCGUCGAUUCGAAAGUCCGAAUGUCGAAAACAACUUGGAAGCACGGAAGGCUCGUGCUUCCAUAAGCAUACCAGUAUAUAUAUAUAUAUAUAUAUAUAUAUAUAUAUAUAUAUAUAUAUAUAUAUAUAUAUAUAUAUAUCUAUAUAUAUAUAAUAGGUCUUGUGUGCUAUUAGGAGUAUGGGCCUCCGUGCUCUUAAGCCGUUUUGGAUGAUGGAGCUUCCGAAUCGACGAUCGCGCUCCAUUAGACUUGAUCUAACGUAUUUGAACUAUCUAGAAAAUAAAUUUUGUGAAUUUUCGAUAUUCAUUUACCUAACGAUCGAAAGAGAAAUCAACGGCUGAAAAUAAAAAUCUCACGAAAAAUGGUGAUAUAGUAUUAAAAUUUUCGAUUAAAACAUAUUGAUCUUGCUGUAAAUAGUAUAACAAAUUUUCUAUCAAAAUUUCUUCUGAUUGAAUACUUCUACACUAUUAAACUUGCAAACGGUAUACAUCAACUAUUAAAAAUUGUAUUUUGAACCCUUUCGAUCGCUAGAAAAUGAUACCGAAAAAUCACAAAAAUUAUUUUUAGAUAAUUCAAAUACGCCAGAUUAAGUCUAACGGAGCCGAUCGUCGAUUUGCAAGCUCCAUCAUCGAAAAACGACUUAGGAGCACAGAAGCCUCCGUGCUCCUAAUAGCACACAAGACCUACUAUAUAUAUAUAUAUAGAGUCCGGCUACUAUACUAUCGGUAGCACGGAGGGCUCCGUGCUACCAAGUUCUUUUCGAUGAUGCGCUUCCAAAUCGACGAUCGGCUCCGUUAGACUUGAUCUAUACUAUUGAAAGUAUUUGGAAACUAAAUUUCAGAUUUUUUUGACAUCAUUUAACUAGUGAUCAAAAGAUCUCAAAAUGACAAUUUUAAUGGCCGAUGUGGUGUGUUUGUGAGUUUAACGGUGUAAAACAAUCCAAAUCCGAUCAAAAUUUUAUAGAAAAUUUUUUCAUAUUUAGAGUAAGAUUAGUAUAUCUGAUCAUGAAUUUAAAUCUUUUAUCAUCAAUUUUUAUGAGAUUUUUAUUCUUCAGCUGUUCAAUUUUAGACUACUUGUUUGAUAGGUAAAUGAUAUCGAAAAAUUAAAAAAUUUAGUUUCUAAAUACUUUAAUAGUGAAGAUCAAGUCUAAUGGCCGAUUGUCAAUUUGGAAGCCGCUCAUCCGAAAACAACUUGGUAGCACGGAGCCCUCCGUGCUACCGAUAGUAUAGUAGCCUAGUUCAUAUAAAUAAAUAAAUAAAUAUAUAUAUAUAUAUUAUAGAGUUGGACUGGGCUACUAUAGUAGCAAAACUUCUCUUAUGUAGCACCGUUUUUUAGCCUUUGGAUCAACUCUUUCAUUAUUUCUAACCAUUGGAUAAAUACUAUAACCCAGUGGGGACCACUCAACCCUAGGAAACCACUUAAAUCUAACCGACUAAUAUCAUCCUGACCCUACAAUUUUUCAUCCAAGGGUUAAAAACUUGAUAGCAAAAAGAGCGUUUUACUAUUAAUAGUAUUCCAGCCUAAUUCUAUAUAUAUAUAUAUAUAUAUAUAUAUAUAUAUAUAUAUAUAUAUAUAUAUAUAAUAUAUAUAUUAGAGUGAGGCUACUAUGCUAUCGAAGCACGCGAGCUUCUGUGCUUCCAACUCGUUUUCAAUGUUGCGACUUUUGAAUCGGUUGAUCGGCUCUGUUAAACUUGAUCUAGAGUAUUUGAAGUACCUAGAAAAUAAAUUUUAUGAUUUUACGAUAUCAUUUGCCUAGUGAACGAAAGGGGCUCAAAAUCAACGGUUAAAAAUAAAAAUCUUACAAAAUGUAAUAGUACGACAUUAAAAUUUUAAAUCAAGAUAUUUAUCUUGUUUUAUAUAGUAUAAAGAAUUUUCUAUCAAAAUUUUCAGUGAUUUGGAUAUUUCUAUACUGUUAAACUUGCACAAGCACUCACUACGGCAUUGAAAUUUGUUGAUUUUGAGCCCAUUCGAUCACUAAGCAAAUGAUAUUGAAAAAUAAUAAAAUUUAUUUUCUAGGUACUCUAAAUACUCUAGAUCAAAUUUAACGGAGCCGAUCGACGAUUCGAAAGUCGCAACAUCGAAAACGAGCUGGAAGCCCGGAAGGCUCCGUGCUUCCGAAAGCAUAGUAGCCUCACUCAAUAUAUAUAUAUAUAUAUAUUAUAUAUAUAUAUAUAUAUAUAUAUAUAAUAUAUAUAUAUACAAUCCGACUAGGUACUAUCGAUAGCCCAAAGCAUUUGGUGCUAUCAAAUUUUCUGCCGUUGAUUUACCUCUUUUUAUCAUUUUCAUCCGUUUGAUUAUAGUAUUCAACCAAAAUACACUCAACCCUAGGGGGCCCAUCAUCCUAACCGCACACUUUUAAUCCAAUGGCGGAAAGCUUAAUAGCACCAAGUCAUUGGUGCUAUUAAUAGUAUUCCAGCUAUUAUAUAUAUAUAUAUAUAUAUAAUAUAUAUAUAUAUAUAUAUAUAUAUAUAUAUUAUAUAUAAUAUAUAUAUAUAUAUAUAUAAAGGCCAAUUUGCAUAAAAAAUUUAUAAAUUUUGAGCUUUUGCAAAACUGGGCCACUUUUUUGAUUUUGCAUAUUCGGUCUAAAUUUCAGCAAAACUGAAUAAAAUACCCUUAUUACUUUUUCUCUUUCUCUUUCUCUCAUCUUUUUUUCUUUCUUGUUUAUUUUUUUUCUCUCGCCGAAGAAAGCAGCGGAGGCAAAGCGAGGCGGAGACGGCUCAUCUCGCGUCUCACCCUCAUGCUCUCCCCUCGCCCACGCACCCCCCACAUUUCUCGCCUCCGACCCCGCCGAGGCCGGCCGUGACUCUUUUUUUUUUUUCUUCUCCGACUCUCCUCCACCAUCUACGACGACAACGCCUCUCUCGCCCUUCCCCGCCCUUCUCGUCCUCUCCCUCUCCCUCCUCCUCUGUCGCCUCCGACGACGAUACAUUUUCGCCGACGCCGACACCGUGGAGGUCGUUGCGGCGCUGCAGCCUCGAAGCGGACGGUCCUUAGCGGCGUUGUCGCUGGCGUCGUGGCCUUUGGCAGAGAGGAGUGACAAAAAAAAUUAUAGAAGAAGCAAGAAAAAAAAUAAAGAUAAAAAAUUAUAGAAAAGAAAAGAUAAAGAUAAAAUUGCGCCUUUAAAAUAAAAUUGUACUGUUUUAAAAAAACGUUGCACUAUUAUGGAUAUAAGUUGCACUACUUAAGAUAUAAACUGCAGCUUUAAGAUAAAAAUUACACUAUUUAAACAAAAAUUACACUUUUUGGGAGAUAUUUUCACUGUUUUUUCUUUUAUUGUACUCUUUCAGAUGUAAACUGCAUCUAUUAAGAUGAAAGUUAUACUCUUUAAAUGAACAUUGCACUCUUUGAGAGAUAUUUACACUGUUUAUCCUCUUCUUGCACCCUUUGAGAUGUAAACUACAUUUCUUUAAGAGAUAUUUAUACCGUUUCUCCUAUUGUUGCACUGUUUCUCCUCUUAUUAUACUAUUUCUCUUAUUAUUACACUAUUUUUUCUCUUAAAUGAUCCAGUUUAAGAGGAGAUCGAGAAGAAAUAGUAUAACAAGAGAAGAAACAGUGAAACAAGAGGAUAAGCAGUAUAAAUUCUCUUAAAGGGGUGCAGUCUACAUCUCAAAGAGUGCAACAAGAGGAGAAACGUACAGUAUAAAUAUUUCUCAAAGAGUGCAACUUUCGUUUAAAGAGUGUAACUUUCAUCUUAAUGGAUACAGUUUACACCUGAAAAAAUGCAAUAAGAGGAGAAACAGUGUAAAUAUCUCCCAAAUAGUGUAAUUUUCGUUUAAAGAGUGUAAUUUGUAUUUUAAAACUGCAGUUUACAUCUUAAAUAGUGAACUUAUAUCCAUAAUAGUACAACAUUUUUUUAAAAUAAUGCAAUUUUAUUUUAACGGUGUAAUUUCAUCUUCAUUUUUCUUAUCUUUAUUUUUUUUCUUACUUCUUCUAUAAUUUUUUUUUGUCACCCCUUUGCCAACGGACACGGCGCCGGCGACGACGCUGCUAAGGACUCUUCGUUCCGAGGCUGCAGCGCCGCAACGACCUCCACGAUGUCGGCGUCAGCGAAGAUGCGUCGUCGUCGGAGGCGGCAGAGGACGAGGACGAUGGACAGGGAGAGGACGAGAAAGACGGGGAAGGGCGAGAGAUGUGUCAUCGUCGUCGGAGACGGUGGAGGAGAGUUGGAGAGGAAAAAUAAAAAGAGUCGCGGCGCGGCUUCGGUGGGGUCGGAGGCUAGGAAGGUGGGAGGUGCGCGGGCACGGGCGAGGACGAGGCCGAGGGCGAGAGCAUGAGGAUGAGAGGCGAGGCGGGCCAUUUCCGCUUCCACCAUUCUCCGCUGCCUCUUUAGCGAGAGAAAAAAAAACGAACGAGAGAAAAAAAGAGGAGAGAGAAAGAGGAGAGAGAAAAAAUAAUAAGAAUAUUUUGGUCGGUUUACUGAAAAUCCGGUUCGAAUAUGUAAAAUGAAAAAAAGUGGCUCAUUUUUGCAAAAGCCGAAAACUAGUGGAUUUUUUAUGCAAAUUGGCCAUAUAUAAAAGCUCAUCUGCUUUUUAAAAUAGCACGCAGAUCAUGCCAUACACCAACUGCCUAUUAAAGACUAUUUGUGAAGACUCAAAUUAAUUAAGCAAUCCCCAAUGAAUUGAUUCCAUUGCUCCUAGUACUUCAAUUCCAUAUAUCUACAGUCCUUGGUGUUGUGGCUAACUUGCUAAUAUGCAUAUCUCUCUUCGGAUAUUUCUCUAGAAUAUUGUAGGAUUAGCAAAUUUAUAUUCCUCGAUCGAUCCUUAUUUGGCUUUUAUUUAAGAAUAAUAAAAUUUGAAGGAGGCACCGUAAUUGAAACGUAAAAUUGAAAUAUAAAACUCAAACAGACAGUUUUGAAAUACCUUUGAAAAAAAAUAUUUUUAUAUAUGCAAGAUCCUAAAUUACAGAAAUGAAAUUGAUAUUUAAAUUUCUUUUUUUGAGAGAAUUGUAAUAUAUAUGCUACUUACUUCAUUUAUUGUUUUAAAAACAAACUUAACUGAAAAUGUGAAGCAUGCAACUAGAUUUUAAACAUUGAAUCUCAAGUAUCAAUACCAAACUCGAUCGUUACCACUUGUACUAGGGACGAUAGAUGAAAUUGGUAUUUAAAUUUUAAACCCCAAAUUUUGAAGGGCGAGUAUAAACCCUAGUUAGUUAAUUCGCGAAUAAUACGCGAAUUAUUCGCGUACUUUUAAAAAUACGAAUUAAACGGGGCGUCCCGUAUUUUUCCAAAAAAUUAGGAAAAAAAUGUGAUUUUUUCCUAAAAAUAAUUAUUCGCGAAUUAUUCGCGAUUCGGGAAUAAUUGGCCCAAAAAAUCGACGAUCGGCCGAGGGUCGCGUCGUCGCCGCUCGCGUCGUCGUCGUCCUCUGCCGCCCUCGCCGGCGCCGAGAGCAAGGGCCACGGCUGCGGAUCCUGUCUCGUCGCGAGCUCGCGUCGUCGUCGUCCUCUGGCCGGCCCUCGCCGGUACCGGAGCAACGCAUGCUACGGACCCGUCUCGCCUCUGCGGAAAAGUGAAAGAUGAACAGAAAAAAAAAUCGGGGCUCAUGAGGCAUGAUGGUGCGCGCGCGGCACGAGACCAUUUCUACCUCGUGGACGCAUGAGGGAGGUCCACAGUGGACCUCCCUCUUUUAUAUAUAUAUAUAUAUAUAUAUAUAUAUAUAAUAUAUAUUAUAUAAAUAAAUUUAUUUUUAUUUUUAUAUAGAAAUAUUUAUAUGAUAUUUUAUUUAUAAAUUUGUAAUUAUUUAUUAAUAUUUUUAAAUAUAUUAAUAUUAUAUAUUAUUAAUAUAUGUUUAUUAUUAAUAUAUGAAUAUAUUUAAUUUAUAUAUAAAAAUAAUAAUAAUAAUAAUAUAUAUAGUAUAUUAAUUAUUAUAUAUUUAAUAUAUAGUCGAAUUUUUGAUUCCGAAUUUUUAAUUGGUGAACGUAUAAUAUCCGUAUAAAUCACGUAUCCGAAUAAUUACCGAAUCCGUUUUUUAGCCGUAUUUUUUAACGAAUUUUAAAAUUAAAAGACGAAUUUUAUCCGAAUUAUAUCCGUACCGAAUUCUUGCCGAAUCCGAAUUAACUAACUAUGGUAUAAACUCCCUCAUAAAAGUUAGUGGAAGUAAAAAACAACAACAACAACAACAACAACAACAACAAAAAAAAAAGGCAAGUUAGCCAAAAUAGUUGGUCAACAGAAUGAGUCCACUAUAUAUGAAUAAUCCCAUUUGCUCCCUUUCCCUUGAUGGCCACUUUCGUUUCUCUGCGCUAUACUGCUCUAUUAGAUAUUAUUAGAUGGAUAGUAUAGUAUAAUAUAGUAUAGUAUAGUAUAAUCACACACUUUCCUCAGAAAAGCAUACAUAGCAUUUUCGCACAUAGGUAUGGGGUGACUCCCACCCCAAUGAAAAAUUUUGCUUUGAAAUCCGCGCAAGUGCGUUUUGCAUUCCCCACAAACACGCUCUCUCAUCCCCAGAAUCCCCUAAAAAUCCACAGGCUAUGCUCCAAAAUUAUGCAUCUCUCUCUCUCUCUCUCUCUCUCUCUCUCUCUCUCUCUCUCUCUCUUGCUUGUUUCUUAUAUACUCACCCCCCUUGCACCCCUUUUGCCUCCCUAUAACUAGCCACUCCCAUCUCCACAAACUCCCAAAACCCAUCUCAAAAAUCCAUCCUCAUCCAAAAUCCAAAACCCAAAGCAUUACUAGAUCUCUUGUUCAUGGAAACCAUGCUCUUGUUGCUUUAUUCAGAUUCAGAUGGCCCUCCGAGCUGGGUAAAACCAACUUCAAAAUUAUAUGAGGAGAUCAAAACCAAGGAAUGGAGCCGAGCUUUUGAAGCUUUGCCCACUUCUCCUCUACUGAUCUACUCUCCAUUUCAUGUAGAGUACGUAUAUAUGUAAGCGAGGAGGUGGCAUAGCAUGCACUAUAUAUGUGGGGAAUUGAGGGUUCAUGGUCCGAUCGAUCUCUUCUAGGUAUCUCAAACACUACUUUCUCUCUUUUUUCUUUUUUCUUUUUUUAGUUUCUUUUCUUGUUUCGUUUUUUUUUUUUUUUUUUUUUUUGGGUGGGUUUUACUUUGUUGGUUUCGGUUUCUCUUCUCUACUUAGUUUUCCACUAGUAUGUGGGUUCUUCUAGUUUAAGUUUGUGGGUGAAGAACAUGCAUGUUUUGUAAGCGACGCAUUCGUAGUGUUAUAUUAUAUUAUAUAAUUAAUCUACUGUGAAAGGGUGUGUGUGUGUGUGUGUGUGUGUGUGUGUGUGUGUGUGUGUGUGUGUGUUUACAUGGAUGUUUAUGUUGUUUGGCAGCUGGGAUCUGGUACUGGGAAUGCAUCACUUACACUCGUCAUGUUAUGUUCUCCCGCUACCAAGAAUCUACUUAUGAUGAGCAGAUGAUAAUAUUAUAUAUAUAUUAUAUAUAUAUAUAUAUAUAUAUAUGGUUUGGUGUCCUAUGUAUGUAUGAGUUUGUAGCUUUGUGCACAUGAGAAUAUAGUUUCGUAUUUGGCUUGUCCUUAAAUUGAAUCCCACUAAAAAUUUGGGAUCUCUUGUUAUUUUCUUUUAAUAUAAGUUUUUUCCCUUGUUGAAAUGAAUUAAUAUAUAUAUUCGGGGCAGGGAAUAUUCAGCAAAUAGGUCAGAAUAUAUAGGCAUGCCAACCUGGGCUGAACUGCUUUAAUGCCUUUUCUCAGAGUUCUCAUAACGCUGCUUUUAAUUAUAUAGGGACACCUUUUGAUUUAUUCACUCAUGCAGUGAGUGCAGUGUAAGUGUGUUAUAUGUGCUUUUUAGUACAUCAAUAAUCUCUAUAAAAGAACCCAAAUUAAGUACCUAUUCUCAAGCAAAAUUUUUUUUUUUUUCUUUUGUUUCUGCUUUUGAGAUAAUGCAUGGCAGCAUGUAUCUGCUUCUUUAAUUUUUUUAAAAAUAAAUUUAGUUAGAAAUUUGAAGUAAUCAUAUUUUGAAUUUAGCAUCUCAAGCUAGAUAUCAAACCUUUUAUCACUUACGCUAGAGACGUCCGGUCAAACAAUCAUAUUUGUACACUUAAAAAUGAGAUAUAAAUAUAUAUCUCACGCGCUCCUCACCGUCCAAGGACCAACAUUUUUACAUUAGUUUUGUCAUUUUUAUUUAUUUUGUAUUAAAAAUUUUAAAAAAUUGUCUAAAUUUUUGAGAAAAAAUGCUACAUGAACACCACUAAACUAAGUAUAGAUCUGAUAAUCUAUUCAUUUAAAGACUAUUGUUUUUGGACUUUUGUCAAUUUAACCCUUUAAAUACUUAUAAUUAGUCAAAUGAUACUGUAAAAAUUUUGUUUCACCAAAUAACUCUAUUUUGUCCAAUCCAGCAACAAGAUAGAAGAACAAUUGAAAAACGGUCAAUUGCUUACCGUCUUUAAUGAAUUUAGAAAACGGUGAAUUAAUUAUCAUUUUUUUAAAUAAAGAAAAUAGUAAAUAAUUUAUUUUUUUUUUCAUAUAUAAUCCUAACAACUAUAUAAAAAUUUAAAUAAAUUACAUACAAUUCUAACAACUUAUCCAUACAAUUUUAACAAUCAAAUAAAAAUUCAAACAGCUUAUGUACAAUCCUAACUACCUCACAAAAAUUCUCACAAUAUAUAAACAAUUUAAAAACAGUGAAUGAUUUACAGCUUUCUAAAGGUGGUGAAUAAUUUACCAAUAUGAUACUGAGUUGGCAAAAAAAGAGUUAGUUGGCCAAAUAAAAAUUUUAAAAGGAUUAUUCGACAAAUUAAAAUUUUUUAUAUAAUUAUUAUAAAAAAAGUCAUUAUUUUUUAUUAGUCUUAUCAAUUUUUUAUUUAAUACUAAAAAUUUAAAAAGGUUUUAGUGAUUCUAAGACAACUGAGGUGUAAGAUAUAUAUCUAUCUAUCUACAUAUAGGUGAUAAGUAGUAUAUUUACUUACAUAUAGGUGUAUUAAUAGCAUCUUUUAUUGUUUGAAUGGUGGGGGUGCAUUUCUGGUUAUUCUCUCUCUAUCUACUACUAAUAUGUGAGCAUUGUAAAUUCAGGGUGCUUUAGUUACUACUAUUGAUUAGUUGGCAACAUCAUGUUAAGAGUAAAUCGAUCAAUUCUUUUUUUUCGACAAUUAAGAAAAACAAAAAUUGGAUUCAAAUCUUGAUAUAUUUGUAGAUAUAUAGAGCCUCUGUUCAUGUGAUUCUAUCAACAAUUUUUGUAUUUUAUAUAUUUAUAUUUACAUAUGCUUCCAAAUCAAUUAACACAUUUGAGCAACAUUAAUUCUUGGUAGUACUAGCAGUAAAUAUACUCUUUGCUAAAUUAUAGAAANUUUAUAAGUAAAUUUUCUAUAAUUUAGCAAAGAGUAUAUUUACAUAUGCUUCCAAAUCAAUUAACACAUUUGAGCAACAUUAAUUCUUGGUAGUACUAGCAGUAAAUAUACUCUUUGCUAAAUUAUAGAAAAUUUACUUAUAAAUAUUUUUUUUUUUUUACUUUGUCUCUCUAAUUUAAUAUUUUAAAUUGUUGCAUUUAAUUAAUUAGCUCCCCCUCCGCCAGGGUUCCAUCACUAUUAUUCCGUCCAUAUUUUACAAUUUAUACUAAAAAUACCCUUCAAAUGACAGAAAUAUAUUAAAAAUUACUUUUUCUUAUAAUUUAUGCUGUUUAUUUUUUAUAAUUUAUAUCGAAAAUAUUGUUUAAAAUAACAAAAAUAUGUUAAAUUUUUUUUUUUUUUUAUAGGAACAGUAAAGAUAGUUUGCUUAUUUUGCCCUCUUAAUUUAUUAGCACCUUACCUUGCUGAAAAUAUUUCUAAAAUUUUAAUUAGACAAAAUAUAUAUUUUAAAAAGUAAAAAAAGUAAAUAUUUAUAAAUAUAUAUAUUUUUUGUAUUUUAACCUAUAUACUUUAUUAAAUGAAGGGGGUACUGUGUUGGGGGACAUGGGAGCAGGGGACGACGUCCUCUUCCUAUUCCUCACUCUGUACCUGUUUGAAUCUCUGUUGUUGUGGGUUUUGAAGUGAUGGAUGAUGCAUGUGGAUCAAUUGAAUUCAAGAGAGAGAGAGAGAGAGAGAGAGAGAGAGAGAGAGCAAAAGAGAGAGAGCAAAAGAGAGAGAGACGCAACAUUAAUUAUAUUAGUGCUCUCUGACAUUCACUGCCGAAUUGUACAAGAAUUACACAUUUACAUGAAAAGGACUUGAGCUUUGAUCAUGCAUUGGAUACUCAUCUUCUGUUAUGCAAUUUCGUGAUGUAGAUUUUGAAGUACAACGAGAUAAUAAUCUUUAAAUUUGGGCCAGGAACUAAUUGUUGACGCUUUAUGAAUUAAUUACGGCCAUAAAAAGGUCUUGUUAUGGCAUUAUUAUGCCUGUUUCAUGACAGGUAAACUGAUGCAAUGAUUUCUUAUGAUUUUUUUUUACUAUAUAUUUAAUUUUAAGGCAACAGUUUCAACCAAAAGAAAAACUACAAAAGUUAAGAUAAAGACCAUGCCAUGCAUAUCGUGAUCGACCUUCACAUGCACGGUAGAUCUACAUUCCAAGCAAACUACAUUUAAAUCAAUUUGUAAACUUCCAUGUGCAAAAUCUUCUCUCUUUUUCAAAUUAAUCUGAAGCACUCAUCUUAAUUAAUAAAAUAUUCGCUUAUUCUACCUGAUUGCUCAGCACCGCUUCUAGUAAAUUCAUGUUCCAGGUAAAUAAUAAGGAUUGUUCGUUAUUUUUUCAAAACUUGCGUAACAUACUAUAAAACAGUGCUCUUAAUAUUUAUAUUGAAUGCUAUGAAUCUUUUAAUGAAAUUAAGCAAUAAUAUUUAGCAUAUGGUUUAUACGUUUUUUCCUCACUGUUUGGAACUAGUAAGUAAUAUUAUAAUUAUAGAUUUGUAGCUCAAUUAAGACGAUUUGUAAAAAUGGAAGUAAUUAAAAAAAACUAAAAAUUUCUGUACAAUUAAAAGCAUUAAUGUUCUCCCAUUUAGGUUUCUUUAAAAAAGCCAUGCUAUAGUCAAUAUUCUAAAAUUCGAUCUAAGUAGUAGAACCAGUAAACGAAGAUAUAUAUAUAACUUAACGGUCAAAUUAAAUUUUAUCGAGACUUAAUUUAAA
Molecule: long non-coding RNA, 20981 nt
Filed under: Ananas comosus (pineapple)
Lineage: Eukaryota; Viridiplantae; Streptophyta; Magnoliopsida; Poales; Bromeliaceae
Description: long non-coding RNA (ACOM_LNC017911)
Source: RNAcentral